GAUUGGCUCCGGCCGUUUUCAUAUCCACACACACCGUGAACCGUUCCCACGUCCCCUCUGAGGGGGGGGCGAGGGACUACCAACCCAAACAUUGUCCAAUGAACGUGAAAUGUCGUAAACAAAACAAAACUUUCAACAACGGAUCUCUUGGCUCU
Molecule: unclassified non-coding RNA, 155 nt
Filed under: rhizosphere metagenome
Description: partial ribosomal RNA internal transcribed spacer region
Source: RNAcentral